ACAUGAAUUAUUAUUACCCAUAUCGACCACUUGAUGCACAAACAAGAGCACCAUUGUAUAACAGGAUAUGUACGCAUUCAGGCUGCUUCCGGCGUGCUGCUAAGUGCAAGGGAGUGGCUCCCCUACCAUCUCUUAUAUUCACAAACAGUGCAUAUUCCCUGAUAUCAAAUCCAACAAAAGAUAUACAUAUAAGAACAAAUGAAAACAGAGAUCUCUAUCCAAAUGAAUCAAAAAAAAGUCAAGCAAUCUUGAAAGAAACAAAAGACCACCAUGAAACAGCAACAGGGCUGAGCGGAUGAAGAAGAAGAAGUAGUCUGCUAAUGAGUGAUGAAGAAGAAGCAGUUGUGGCGGCCGAGAGGAAGGAAAAGGUUAUGGAAUCAGAAGAAGCAGUAGGAGGGUAAAACUGGGUAGAAGAAAUCGGAAGAACUUAAUACGCAGCAA
Molecule: long non-coding RNA, 441 nt
Filed under: Gossypium barbadense (sea-island cotton)
Lineage: Eukaryota; Viridiplantae; Streptophyta; Magnoliopsida; Malvales; Malvaceae
Description: long non-coding RNA (GBAR_LNC005101)
Source: RNAcentral